ACUCGCUCUUUUAUUUUAUUUUUUUGCUCUCCUUCUCCUUCUCCUUCCUCGCCACCGCCGCCGCCGCCGCCUGCUGAUCUUUCUAGGGUUAGGGUUUGUGGCCGGAGCGUAGAAGGGGAGAUCCGAUUGGGUUGGUGGAAUCGAAGAUGGACGCGCAGCGUGCUCUGCUUGACGCGCUGAUGGGGUCGUCGCGGGACCUGACGGAGGAGGAGAAGAAGGGGCACCGGGAGGUGUCGUGGGACGACCCCGACGUCUGCGCUCCCUACAUGGCCAGAUUCUGCCCCCACGACCUCUUCAUCAACACCAAGAGCAACCUCGGAGUGUGCCCAAAGAUCCACGACCCUGCGCUCAAGCAAAGCUUCGAGACCUCCCCCCGCUACGCCGCCGCCCUCCCCAAAUUCGAGGCCGAGCUAGCCCACCGCUGCGAGAGGCUGGUGCAGGACCUGGAUAAGAAGAUCAGGCGCGGCCGCGACAGGCUGGCGCAGGACGUCGUGGAGAUGCCGCCUCCCGCCGCCCACGCCGAAAAGGUCGAGCAGCUCGCCAUUCUCGAAGACAAGAUCAAGAAGAUGCUCGAGCAGAUCGAAGAGCUCGGCGACACCGGCAAGAUUGAUGAGGCCACCGCGCUCAUGAGGAAGGUGGACAUUCUCAACCUAGAGAAGUCGGCUCUCACCCACCAGAUCGAGACCAAGCUCUCCAUGGUCCCGCAGGAGAAGAAGAUGGAGCUCUGCGAGCAGUGCGGCUCCUUUCUCGUCACCAACGACGUCCUUGAGAGGACGCAGUCCCAUGUUACCGGCAAACAGCACAUUGGUUACGGCCUGGUCAGGGAAUUCCUCACCGAAUACAAGGCUGCGAAAGAAGCGGACAAGCUUGCAAAGGAAAAGGAAGUAGAGGAGCGUCAGAACCGGGAGAGAGGAUACCAUAACAGAGGCCACCGCGACGACUAUAGGGAGAGAUCCAGGGAGCACGACCGUGACCGCUACUACGAGCGGAGCCGUGACAGAGAGAGGCCCUAUGAGCAGGGAGGUAGAGGGUCUGACUAUAGAGGAGGUUCCUAUAACAGCCGGAGGGAUUCUGAAAGGGCGAGGCCCAGAGAUAGGAACGGUGGUGAUUUUUCAAGAAGAGGAGACCCCGGGAGGAUGAGGAGCAGGUCCCGGUCUCCGGGCAGGCAUGGUUAUUAAUCAUUUCAAGUUAUGAGACUCGUGAGGUAGACCAUUAUGCUCCUUUUGCUUAUUCAUUCUGUCGCCAUGUCCGAGUGUUGUCAUGAUUAAAUUUAAACCUUACUCUGCUCUAGCAGCUUUCUGUUGAAACCAUAUCUAUGGUCUUCCUUUUAUUAUAGAGAGGAUAAAAACAGAGGAAGAGCUGAAAGCCGUAUGUAUCAUCCUAGGCAGGUAACCCGUAACCUCUGUCUUACAUGUUAAAAUGACUGAUGACAUACAAGGUUUGGUUAUGACCUGGAAGAAACAGUAGACAGGCAACCCUCUAUCUUGCAUGUUAAAAUGAUUGAUGAUAUAAGGUUGGGUCAGACCUGGAAGAAACAGUAGGCAGGUAAUCCAUAACCUCUGUCUUGCAUGUUAAAUUGAUGACAUAAUAUACAAGGUUGGGGCGGACCUGGAAGAUAAAGGUAACCGUUAUGGAUAUAUAAUAAGAUUUUGUGUGUACUGCGCCACGCAUUUCUUCUUGACAGAUUUUGAAAAAUGAUAUUGACUAGUAUCUGCAGUAGGUUUAUCGUAUAAUCGUUAAACAAGAGGAUUGUUAGGUGUGAUAUGAUGGAACUUCUAUCAUACAAGGUUUGGUUAGGACCUCGAAGAGACAGUAGGCAGGUGACCCGUAACAUCGGUCUUGCAUCUCUUAAAUUGAUGAUAAAUACAAUAAGGUUUUGUUAGGACCUCGAAGAAACAGUAGGCAGGUGAACCGUAACCUAGGUCUUGCAUCUCUUAAAUUGAUGAUAAAUACAACAAGGUUUGGUUAGGACCUCGAAGAAACAGUAGGCAGGUGACCCGUAACCUCGGUCUUGCAUCUCUUAAAUUGAUGAUAAAUACAACAAGGUUUUGUUAGGACAUGGAAAAUUCAGCUAAUAUUACAGGCCAUCGGUUCCUGAAUGCCCAGCUUGUACAACAUUUAAUUUGCACUGCCAGUAGAGAUUUUGCGUGUGCUGCGCCAGACGUUAUGUAUCUUGAUGGAUUUUAAGAAAGAGAUGACAGUGGCUAGUAUCCGCAGUAGGUGUAUCUUUCAGUCUAGGAACUGAAAGAUUGUCUUCUGAUAUACUUCCUCUGUCCCAAAAUUCUUGUCUUAAAUUUGUCUAGAAAUGGAUGUAUUUGGGAUGGAGGGAGUAGCUUAAGAAGUCUUUAGAUGAUACUACUAUCAUCCUAGGCAGGUAACCUGUAACCUCUGUCUGUCUUACAUGUUUAUUAAUCGAGCUGAAGAAAUCUUAAGAUGAGUGCGUGGAAGAAUUAGGUGCAGGUGAUAUUUUUGGCAGAAGAACAAGAGGAUUGGAUGGGAGGAUCGUCCACUUGGGAGUUGUUGACAUCAGAAGAAUUCAAGCGCUGUUGGACGGUGCAUGUCAGAGAUCAAGGCUAGAUUUGAAGUAGAGUCGCCUUUUGCUCGUCGAACAUGUAAAAUCUUCCGGUCGUUUGAGCUUUUGAGCGGGCAUGAAGUGUUUUGGUUUGAAAGUUGUGUUCAAGUUGUAUUUUCUCACAAACGCAAACAUAUUUGUGUUGUUUAUAAGCAUGUACCAAGUGAAAGUAAAAUGAGCUUGAAAGGCGAUUUAUUUGC
Hordeum vulgare subsp. vulgare (domesticated barley) is the source of this 2772-nucleotide RNA transcript. It is a transcript of the gene named luc7-like protein 3, with no coding region annotated. NCBI's taxonomy places the organism in Eukaryota, Viridiplantae, Streptophyta, Magnoliopsida, Poales, Poaceae. The transcript is spliced from 7 exons. The record is from RefSeq and is a predicted model, not a curated record.